CUCCGUCGUAGUGGAAGGGCUCCUCCUCCCCGUCGGCCACUUCCACUAUCAAAGACCCAUACAGCCCUGCCGCCCUCUGCAUCCCGUAAUGCCCGUGAUAGAAAUAUGUUCCUGCCUAUUUGCAAGGCAAAUAAAUAGAGUAAAUACAGAUGCGGCUGCAUGAUACGUGAGAGACUAAUCUGAGGAAUGAUAAGGAGAUGAGUUACCUUAUCGACCUGAAAUCUGUAAACAUAAGUCUCUUCAGGAUUGAUGGCGCACUGUGAGAUGGAAGCUGUUCCAUCAGCCCAUGGUGUUCCAUACUGGUUGCAGCCAGUGACAUGCACAUUUGUAAGCAUAAUAGCAAGGACAUGAACGCAUGAAAUGAAGUGGAUGACAACUCCCUCGGUGUGAAGGGCGUUCUUCAGCUCGACAUGGAUGGUGUCGCCGGCCUUGGCGCGGAUGGUCGGUCCGGGGAACUGGCCGUUGAUCCCAAGUAGAAUCUUCUCCUCGCAGUCCGGCGACGCAUACAUGUAACCCACGUCCCACUUGAAAUGCCUGGUCUUUGAAGCCAAGCCAGCCUGCAGCAGGAGUGAGAUGAUACAAGAGACGUACAGAAGCGAGCCCAUAGUCAAAUGGGAGUAUUAUCCGGUUGAACUAGCGAGUGGUAGCCGAUGGAGUGUUUGGAAACAGGUGGAGAUGAAGGUUGAAGGGGAAGACUAAGAGGGAGGAGAAUUAGAAAGACUGUGGAUGAAGCAGCAUGUUUCUUGAGAUGGUUGGAGCAACUAUGCUGCAGUGGGUGCUUUUUUUAUAGUGGGAGAUGGGUUUAAAUUAGAGCAAGGAAUUAUCAGAAUUCUUAGUUGAUUGUCACUUUUAUUAUAUAGGGUAUGAUUUGAAUCAUAGUUUCUCAUGUUAAAAAGGAACAACUUUAUGAGGUUCAUCCUCAACAACUAUUUUAAAGAUAACACUCAACAAGUACUAUUUCAGUGUUUUCUUUUAACUGGUAACUUGAUUUCUAUUGCUAUUGUCAUCAUUAUUAUUAUUCUUAUUUCACUAACAACACUUGGAAUUAUUAUUCUGCUUCCCAUAACCUUUAAAUUCCUUGCAGGGUAUAACAGGUGGUGUCGAUGAUGGUCUUUGGGAUAGUAGAGCAUCUUUCUCCCGUAUUGUGAGGCACAUGGUAGAGAAUCAUGGCAAAAGAGAGUUGGGUUGAUUUAUAUAAAGAAGACGAAAUAGUAAUCAACAUCAGCUACUUGCAUCACUUUGACGAGGUGACCAGAAUCUUUUGAACGUUGAUGCAACUUGCUUCGGCUACUUGCAUCAGUCACUUGUGAACAAAAAGAACCAAGAAUCCAAGGAGGAACAAGAAGACAUUCUGAAGAAUGAAGAAUGGUACAAUAUGCCUCGGCUACUUGCAUCGCCUUUGACGGGGCGAAAUGAAUCUUAUGAAGAAUGGUACAGCAUGCUUCGGCUACUUGCAUCACUUUGGAAGAACCUAAAGAAUGGGUCCAUCAGAUCACCUCAAGCAUUUUGUGGCACAAGUUCUCCAGAAUAUGCAUCUAUAGCAUGUAUUUAGAGCUGUCAGAUUUCAAAAACCCUUGUUAUUUGGGCAGCAUGUCAGGAACAUUGUCACCAUGAAGCUCCGAAGCACAUCCUUUUUUAGUAUCUGUAAUUAAUGGCACUGUAUUUACUGAAUGCUGUAUGUUUA
Long non-coding RNA from Musa acuminata AAA Group (dessert banana), 1684 nucleotides. RefSeq lists it as uncharacterized. The record is from RefSeq and is a predicted model, not a curated record. The transcript is spliced from 4 exons. Lineage: Eukaryota; Viridiplantae; Streptophyta; Magnoliopsida; Zingiberales; Musaceae.